UACGGAGGGAGCAAGCGUUGUCCGGAAUCAUUGGGCGUAAAGCGCGCGUAGGUGGCCCCAUAAGUCCGCUGUGAAAGUCAAAGGCUCAACCUUUGAAAGCCGGUGGAUACUGUGGGACUAGAGUACGGAAGAGGCGAGUGGAAUUCCUGGUGUAGCGGUGGAAUGCGCAGAUAUCAGGAGGAACACCAAUAGCGAAGGCAGCUCGCUGGGACGUUACUGACACUGAGGCGCGAAAGCGUGGGGAGCGAACAGG
This 253-nucleotide ribosomal RNA is filed under the name uncultured bacterium. RNAcentral's name for it is "partial 16S ribosomal RNA". It matches the Rfam family "Bacterial small subunit ribosomal RNA", at positions 524 to 776 of the family's 1533-position model. The record is from RNAcentral.